Molecule: ribosomal RNA, 748 nt
Filed under: bacterium
Lineage: Bacteria
Description: bacterial SSU rRNA
Rfam family: Bacterial small subunit ribosomal RNA
Source: RNAcentral
GAAGCCGGGGCUUGCUCUGGUGGAUUAGUGGCGAACGGGUGAGUAACACGUGAGCAACCUGCCCUGGACUCUGGGAUAAGCGCUGGAAACGGCGUCUAAUACUGGAUACGAGACGUGGCCGCAUGGUCAACGUUUGGAAAGAUUUUUCGGUCUGGGAUGGGCUCGCGGCCUAUCAGCUUGUUGGUGAGGUAAUGGCUCACCAAGGCGUCGACGGGUAGCCGGCCUGAGAGGGUGACCGGCCACACUGGGACUGAGACACGGCCCAGACUCCUACGGGAGGCAGCAGUGGGGAAUAUUGCACAAUGGGCGGAAGCCUGAUGCAGCAACGCCGCGUGAGGGAUGACGGCCUUCGGGUUGUAAACCUCUUUUAGCAGGGAAGAAGCGUGAGUGACGGUACCUGCAGAAAAAGCGCCGGCUAACUACGUGCCAGCAGCCGCGGUAAUACGUAGGGCGCAAGCGUUAUCCGGAAUUAUUGGGCGUAAAGAGCUCGUAGGCGGUUUGUCGCGUCUGCUGUGAAAUCCCGAGGCUCAACCUCGGGCCUGCAGUGGGUACGGGCAGACUAGAGUGCGGUAGGGGAGAUUGGAAUUCCUGGUGUAGCGGUGGAAUGCGCAGAUAUCAGGAGGAACACCGAUGGCGAAGGCAGAUCUCUGGGCCGUAACUGACGCUGAGGAGCGAAAGGGUGGGGAGCAAACAGGCUUAGAUACCCUGGUAGUCCACCCCGUAAACGUUGGGAACUAGUUGUGGGGUC